AGGCUGGGGAUCAUUUGUCAACAAAAAUAUAUACGAUCCAAGGAGUCACAAGCACAGUGGCAAACUUAUAAGUCUCACCGUUUCCAUGAGAACUGCUUAGCAACUGCGGUAUACAAUUCAACUUCAGCUGGACUCAAUUUCCUUUCCUCUCCUCAAGCUGUCUCUUCCCCUGUCGUUUUUAUUUCUUAUUCGUGAAGCAUUACCCCGGCGCUACUCUAUCAACAAGGCAGAGCAGCACUGGGAAAUGUGUAUCAACAUUCUGGAGUUCUGACUUUCCGUCCGAGUAACUGCCCCUGCAAAUCGUCUUCUUGCGGUUCUCGCUUCAGAGACCUCAUUUUUCCUUUCAAAUAGCAUCCUUGAAUAUAUUACCUGUUCAAUAAGUAAUUGAAUCCAUUGACGACCCAUGUCAAUAUGCAGCAGAGGAACCUAAACUUCUUGAGGCGCCACAUCAGACUCCCUCUGCCCGUGUUCGAGCUCGUAUCAGCCCACACGUCUGUUCUUCUUUUGAUAUCUUGAGGCCGGGGUCGCUAUGGAUGUAGUCUUUUGCAACCUCGGUUUUUGGCUCCUUCAGUCAAUGGAAGCCAAAAUGGCUUGAAGCCUUUGCCUUGAUCUGGCAUCAAGGUCCGUGAAUCCCCAGUCAACGCAGGUCCCUAGGUUGAUAAUACGGACUGGCCGUUCAUACAACCAGCAACCCUUGUUUCGUAUCCACGGUCCUCCACCUAGUCCCUGUCAAUCACAUAGCUUUCUCAGAUGUGCCAUUUAUUCGCUUUCAACUCCUUCCUUUGAAUCCACUACUGCAUCCAAGUCAACACCUUCUUAUACCAGUAUGAGUGUGACAGUGGGAUUGUCUCACGGAAUGCAUCAAACCUUUGGCUACGGGACACCUCCCACAUUGUCCAGGAGUGCUCAGUCUGCGGGGACAAGGCAUUAGUCCACUAACGCCUUCAAGUUCAAUCCAAUCAAUACCCUGGGUGUGAUCUAAUUAUCUCAUUUAUUUUGAUACUCCCAUCGCAAAACACUGUAUCCAUGGCUUUAUACCUGUACCCCGCUUUCCAGGCUCCCGCAUUCUUCAAUCAAGGGGUUGGAGAUGAUAAUAUAAUAAGGAUGGCUAUUCCUACCAAAUUGCAAGUCGUCGAUCUUUUCUGAAUUUCCAACUCGAUCCUCGUAUACCGUAAUCCUUAUAAGGGGAGCAGUACCAACCGUCCUUUUGUUUACGUUUUUAACACGCAAAACAUCCACAAUGAAGUUUCUCUUCGGAAUUCUUACCUCUCUCACCAUUCUUGGAGCCCCCGCCCUAGCAGCGGUGAAUGGUCCGUGUAGCGGCACCAGCGAUACGCCGGGAUACUAUGGAAUCUGCAUUUCGACAUCCUCCUGCAGGGCUAAUGGCGGGACUUAUGUGAACAACCGCUGUCCCAAUGACCCGAACAACAUCAAGUGCUGCACUAUUGCUGGAUGUGCAGACUCGAGCAGCUACUGCGGAUGGACCAGUCGGCAUUGCAGUGGGAAAUUUAGAACUGGAUUGUGCCCGGGUGGUAACAAUUACAAAUGUUG
RNAcentral lists this small RNA (1551 nucleotides) under Histoplasma ohiense. Its description in RNAcentral is "hypothetical lncRNA". The record is from RNAcentral. Lineage: Eukaryota; Fungi; Ascomycota; Eurotiomycetes; Onygenales; Ajellomycetaceae.